AUCCCGGUUUAGUUGGAAGUAGGCGUGCGUUAGGCAAAUCCGGCGCACAUAUACCGAGGCCAAUGAUCGAGCCAGCUUGCUGGUGUAGUGACUGAACGAGGUUCCAGGAAAAGCCACUAAGCUUCAGCUGCACACGACCGUACCGCAAACCGACACUGGUGCGCGAGAUGAGUGUUCUAAGGCGCUUGAGAGAACUCAGGAGAAGGAACUCGGCAAAUUGACACCGUAACUUCGGAAGAAGGUGUGCCCUAUUAGUGUGAAGUGAACAACGGAGCAUGAAUGGGUUGCAAAAAAUCGGUGGCUGCGACUGUUUAUUAAAAACACAGCACUCUGCAAACACGAAAGUGGACGUAUAGGGUGUGACGCCUGCCCGGUGCUGGAAGAUUAAAUGAUGGGGUGCAAGCUCUUGAUUGAAGUCCCAGUAAACGGCGGCCGUAACUAUAACGGUCCUAAGGUAGCGAAAUUCCUUGUCGGGUAAGUUCCGACCUGCACGAAUGGCGUAACGAUGGCCACACUGUCUCCUCCUGAGACUCAGCGAAGUUGAAAUGUUUGUGAUGAUGCAAUCUCCCCGCGGAAAGACGGAAAGACCCCAUGAACCUUUACUGUAGCUUUGUAUUGGACUUUGAACAGAUCUGUGUAGGAUAGGUGGGAGGCUUUGAAGCAGGGUCGCUAGAUCUUGUGGAGCCAACGUUGAAAUACCACCCUGGUGUGUUUGAGGUUCUAACCUAGGUCCAUUAUCUGGAUCGGGGACAGUGCAUGGUAGGCAGUUUGACUGGGGCGGUCUCCUCCCAAAGCGUAACGGAGGAGUUCGAAGGUACGCUAGUUACGGUCGGACAUCGUGACGAUAGUGCAAUGGCAUAAGCGUGCUUAACUGCGAGACUGACAAGUCGAGCAGAUGCGAAAGCAGGACAUAGUGAUCCGGUGGUUCUGUAUGGAAGGGCCAUCGCUCAACGGAUAAAAGGUACUCUGGGGAUAACAGGCUGAUACCGCCCAAGAGUUCAUAUCGACGGCGGUGUUUGGCACCUCGAUGUCGGCUCAUCUCAUCCUGGGGCUGUAGCCGGUCCCAAGGGUAUGGCUGUUCGCCAUUUAAAGAGGUACGUGAGCUGGGUUUAAAACGUCGUGAGACAGUUUGGUCCCUAUCUUCCGUGGGCGCUGCAGAUUUGAGGAAGCCUGCUCCUAGUACGAGAGGACCGGAGUGGACACACCUCUGGUGUAUCGGUUGUCACGCCAGUGGCAUUGCCGAGUAGCUAAGUGUGGAAGAGAUAACCGCUGAAAGCAUCUAAGCGGGAAACUCGUUUCAAGAUGAGAUCUGCCGGGGCCUCGAGCCCCCUGAAGAGUCGUUCAAGACCAGGACGUUGAUAGGUCGGGUGUGGAAGCGCAGCAAUGCGUUAAGCUAACCGAUACUAAUUGCUCGUGCGGCUUGACCCU
Molecule: ribosomal RNA, 1428 nt
Filed under: metagenome
Description: bacterial LSU rRNA
Rfam family: Bacterial large subunit ribosomal RNA
Source: RNAcentral